AGAAAUCUCAAGAUCGAGAAAGGAGAAAAUUGUUAGCAAAUCAGAUUUCACAAUGUCAGCAGCUUCAACAAUGGCGGUUAUGGGAGCAUCAAGCUCGUGGUCGAGAGCUUUGAUACAGAUCUCACCUUACACUUUCUCUGCUGUCGGAAUUGCCAUUGCUAUUGGUGUCUCUGUUCUUGGCGCCGCUUGGGGGAUUUACAUUACUGGAAGUAGUCUGAUUGGUGCUGCAAUCAAAGCUCCUCGCAUCACCUCCAAGAAUCUUAUUAGUGUGAUUUUCUGUGAAGCCGUUGCUAUCUAUGGUGUUAUUGUGGCAAUUAUUCUGCAAACUAAAUUAGAGAGUGUCCCAGCAUCAAAGAUAUAUGCAGCAGAGUCCCUUCGAGCAGGAUAUGCAAUAUUUGCCUCUGGAAUAAUUGUGGGCUUUGCCAACCUUGUUUGCGGGCUCUGCGUAGGGAUUAUUGGUAGCAGUUGCGCAUUGUCAGAUGCACAAAAUUCCACCCUUUUCGUCAAGAUUCUUGUGAUUGAGAUUUUUGGCAGUGCACUGGGAUUGUUUGGAGUGAUUGUGGGAAUAAUCAUGUCAGCUCAAGCAACAUGGCCUUCUAAAACAGCAUGAUCGCGUACUUCGGCUUUCUUUGUGCUGCCAUUUGGAAGCUGUAUUUGCUCUCUUGCCAAUAGUUUAUUGUUUUUGUAGGAGUAUUAAUUGAAGAGGUUCUUGGUUCUCCCAUUGUAUUUGCAUAAAUGAAAUCGACAUAAGCUAGGCCAUGUCUGACCUGCAACCGAUAUGUCAUUUACACUGUUGUAUUAUUACUUCACUAGAACUGAAGAAACAUGAAGGAGUCGCAGUUAUUUUUUUUCCUGGAGAGUGCUGCGUGUACUUAUUCUCAGCAAAGGAAUAUUGUUUGUACGCG
This 905-nucleotide unclassified non-coding RNA is filed under the name Hevea brasiliensis (rubber tree). The record is from RNAcentral. Lineage: Eukaryota; Viridiplantae; Streptophyta; Magnoliopsida; Malpighiales; Euphorbiaceae.